This 191-nucleotide unclassified non-coding RNA is filed under the name soil metagenome. Its description in RNAcentral is "partial internal transcribed spacer 1". The record is from RNAcentral.
CCGAGUUUACAACUCCCAAACCCAAUGUGAACCGUACCAAACUGUUGCCUCGGCGGGAUCUCUGCCCCGGGUGCGUCGCAGCCCCGGACCAAGGCGCCCGCCGGAGGGACCAACCAAACUCUUCUGUAGUACCCCUCGCGGACGUUUAUUAAUCUGAGCUAGGCUCUCGUAGGCAGUUCGAAAAUGAAUCA